AUGGGGCUCAGGGUUUUCUCCACGCUGGCACAGAGGAACUUGGGGUCCUUGGCGACGAGGGCGGCGACGUCGGCGCCGGAGAGGCCGAGGCCGGCGAGGAAGGCGAGGACAGCGUCGGGCUUGGAAGGGGAUUUGAGGUGGGAGAGCUUGGCGGAGGCCUUGAGGGCCUGGGGUCGGGUGAGGCCGCAGGUGGCGACGAGGUAG
Molecule: ribosomal RNA, 204 nt
Filed under: Triticum aestivum (bread wheat)
Lineage: Eukaryota; Viridiplantae; Streptophyta; Magnoliopsida; Poales; Poaceae
Description: partial small subunit ribosomal RNA
Source: RNAcentral